This is a long non-coding RNA of Suricata suricatta (meerkat), 346 nucleotides long. RefSeq lists it as uncharacterized. The transcript is spliced from 2 exons. Lineage: Eukaryota; Metazoa; Chordata; Mammalia; Carnivora; Herpestidae. The record is from RefSeq and is a predicted model, not a curated record.
CACCUGCUUCGAUGAUCACCUUCGAGGUGGAACACCUCCCAUUUGGGUAUCUCCUCUGCUGGUUCUCCAGGCUCUCAUUAAAAGAAAUACUUGUGAGCAUUUCUUUCCAAGGACUUAUCUACAGUAUCCCCAAGGACUAUUCCAUCCUAACAUGUCUUAAGUCAAAAUGUAUGUGGAACCACUGUGGAAACUCAUAAGACACAACAGACCACAAAGGCAUUAAUAAGCAGCUGAGACCAGCUGUAAAUAUUCAUCUCAUCUACUGCUGACAGUGCUAUCUCAAAGAUUUCAAAGAGCCUGAAAAAAGUAGACUCCUUCGUUUAAAAAAAAAAAGAAAAAGAAAAAG